Molecule: ribosomal RNA, 253 nt
Filed under: uncultured bacterium
Lineage: Bacteria
Description: partial 16S ribosomal RNA
Rfam family: Bacterial small subunit ribosomal RNA
Source: RNAcentral
UACAGAGGGUGCAAGCGUUGUUCGGAAUUAUUGGGCGUAAAGGGCGUGUAGGCGGUCUGCUAAGUCAUGUGUGAAAUCCCUCGGCUUAACCGAGGAACGACGCAUGAAACUGGCAAGCUAGAGUACCAAAGAGGGGGGUGGAAUUCCAGGUGUAGCGGUGAAAUGCGUAGAUAUCUGGAGGAACACCGGUGGCGAAGGCGACAUCCUGGACCGGUAUUGACGCUGAGGCGCGAAAGCCAGGGGAGCAAACGGG